RNAcentral lists this long non-coding RNA (268 nucleotides) under Lathyrus oleraceus (garden pea). RNAcentral's name for it is "Pisum sativum (pea) long non-coding RNA (PSAT_LNC000387)". Lineage: Eukaryota; Viridiplantae; Streptophyta; Magnoliopsida; Fabales; Fabaceae. The record is from RNAcentral.
AUUAAUGAGCUCAGAUCUAACGCUCCUUUUUUUUUGCAUUUUUUAUUUUCUGAUUUUAUUUUCUUUAAUUCCUUUUUAUUUCAAAAAUCAAUAUCUCUUUCAUUUUUAAUCCAAAAAUCAUGGGACCAAUUGCAUUAGUCUCCAAAUAAAUUCUAGUUUCUAUUUCUGAUUUUUAAUUUUUUUAUUUUGUCAUUUGAUAUUUUUUGUGAAUUUUCUCUUUUCUGGUUAUUUUUAAUUCAUUUUAAAUAGUUUUUGAUAUUCAAAAAAU